Molecule: ribosomal RNA, 427 nt
Filed under: uncultured beta proteobacterium
Lineage: Bacteria; Pseudomonadati; Pseudomonadota; Betaproteobacteria
Description: bacterial SSU rRNA
Rfam family: Bacterial small subunit ribosomal RNA
Source: RNAcentral
AGUGGGGAAUUUUGGACAAUGGGGGCAACCCUGAUCCAGCCAUGCCGCGUGAGUGAAGAAGGCCUUCGGGUUGUAAAGCUCUUUCGGCCGGAACGAAAUCGCAUCCUCUAAUACGGGGUGUGGAUGACGGUACCGGAAGAAGAAGCACCGGCUAACUACGUGCCAGCAGCCGCGGUAAUACGUAGGGUGCGAGCGUUAAUCGGAAUUACUGGGCGUAAAGCGUGCGCAGGCGGUUCGCUAAGACAGGUGUGAAAUCCCCGGGCUUAACCUGGGAAUGGCGCUUGUGACUGGCGGGCUGGAGUACGGCAGAGGGAGGUGGAAUUCCACGUGUAGCAGUGAAAUGCGUAGAGAUGUGGAGGAACACCGAUGGCGAAGGCAGCCUCCUGGGCCAGUACUGACGCUCAUGCACGAAAGCGUGGGGAGCAAA